AAAAGUAGCACUCGAAAACACACAACAAAGUAGUCCUUCAAAUUCACCAGAAAAAACUACUCCUGAAUAGUAGUUACAAUUUUAAAAGGCAAAAGGAAAAGCCCCAAAAAAUGGAAGAAAACCAAAUAAAAAUGAGACUCAACUCAUUGAGCCAAAUGCGAUCAAAUGCAUGGGCACUUCUUCACACAAAAAAACAAAAUAGAAAAUGUUGAAAAACUGCGGCAGUAUGAUUCAAAUUUGUGGGUGUCCAUAGGGCGACGUGUGGGCGUGACCGGGCGACUUACACGGAAAUUGUGCCAAGCCCUUAAAUGAGCUCUAUUGUCUGGGAAAUACAUCACCCAUAUAUAAAUUUGUUUUUGCUUUUGCUUAACUUAAUUUUUGAUCAAUUUUAAUCCGAAGCUGAUGAAAAAUUCUCUGUGAUUGCGAUAGUUGAGUAUUUCGCAUUAAUUCUU
Non-coding RNA from Drosophila virilis, 452 nucleotides. NCBI's taxonomy places the organism in Eukaryota, Metazoa, Arthropoda, Insecta, Diptera, Drosophilidae. The record is from RefSeq and is a predicted model, not a curated record.